CUACUUAGGGGUUGCCCCUGUUAGCGCGACGAGUGAAGCGGCAAGAGCUCAGAUUUGAAAUCGUGUUUCGGCACGAGUUGUAGAGUGUAGGCGGGAGUCUCUGUGGAGCGCGGUGUCCAAGUCCCUUGGAACAGGGUGCCUGAGAGGGUGAGAGCCCCGUAGGGUGCUGCGCGAAGCUUUUGAGGCCCUGCUGACGAGUCGAGUUGUUUGGGAAUGCAGCUCCAAGCGGGUGGUAAAUUCCAUCUAAGGCUAAAUAUUGGCGAGAGACCGAUAGCGAACAAGUACUGUGAAGGAAAGAUGAAAAGCACUUUGAAAAGAGAGUGAAACAGCACGUGAAAUUGUUGAAAGGGAAGGGUAUUGGGCUCGACAUGGGGGGUGCGCACCGCUGUCUCUUGUAGGCGGCGCUCUGGGCGCCCUCUGGGCCAGCAUCGGUUCCUGCUGCGGGAGAAGGGGCUCCGGAAAGUGGCUCUUCGGAGUGUUAUAGCCGGGGCCAGAUGCCGCGUGUGGGGACCGAGGACUGCGGCUUCUGUCUCGGAUGCUGGCAUAACGGCGCAAUACCGCCCGUCUUGAAACACGGACCAU
Molecule: ribosomal RNA, 582 nt
Filed under: Pichia manshurica
Lineage: Eukaryota; Fungi; Ascomycota; Pichiomycetes; Pichiales; Pichiaceae
Description: eukaryotic LSU rRNA
Rfam family: Eukaryotic large subunit ribosomal RNA
Source: RNAcentral